RNAcentral lists this ribosomal RNA (450 nucleotides) under uncultured Glomeromycotina. RNAcentral's name for it is "SSU rRNA". It matches the Rfam family "Eukaryotic small subunit ribosomal RNA", at positions 569 to 1025 of the family's 1831-position model. Lineage: Eukaryota; Fungi; Glomeromycota. The record is from RNAcentral.
AGCAGCCGCGGUAAUUCCAGCUCCAAUAGCGUAUAUUAAAGUUGUUGCAGUUAAAAAGCUCGUAGUUGAAUUUCGGGAUCGACGGGUCGGUCGCGCCUCUGGUGUGUACUGGCCCUGUCGGUUUCUCCCUUCUGACGAACUGCGAUGUCAUUAAUUUGGUGUCGUAGGGAAUCAGGACUGUUACUUUGAAAAAUUAGAGUGUUUAAAGCAGGCAUUCGCUUGAAUACAUUAGCAUGGAAUAAUGAAAUAGGACGUUUGAUCUUAUUUUGUUGGUUUCUAAGAUCGACGUAAUGAUUAAUAGGGAUAGUUGGGGGCAUUAGUAUUCAAUUGUCAGAGGUGAAAUUCUUGGAUUUAUUGAAGACUAACUACUGCGAAAGCAUUUGCCAAGGAUGUUUUCAUUAAUCAAGAACGAAAGUUAGGGGAUCGAAGACGAUCAGAUACGUCGUAGUC